GAUGAACGCUAGCGAUAGGCCUAACACAUGCAAGUCGAGGGGCAUCGGGGCGAGGAGCAAUCCUUGCCGCCGGCGACCGGCGCACGGGUGAGUAACGCGUAUGCGACCUGCCCGUUGCAGGGGGAUAAUCGGGAGAAAUCCCGUCUAAUACCGCGUAACGCCGCGGGGCUGCAUGGCCCUGCGGCCAAAGGAAGCGAUUCCGGCAACGGAUGGGCAUGCGUGACAUUAGCUAGUUGGCGGGGCAACGGCCCACCAAGGCGACGAUGUCUAGGGGUUCUGAGAGGAAGGUCCCCCACACUGGUACUGAGACACGGCCCAA
This 319-nucleotide ribosomal RNA is filed under the name uncultured bacterium. RNAcentral describes it as "bacterial SSU rRNA". It matches the Rfam family "Bacterial small subunit ribosomal RNA", at positions 28 to 334 of the family's 1533-position model. The record is from RNAcentral.